UCAGGGUUGGGGGGCUUGCCAUGCGAGUCGAGCGGUAGCACAGAGAGCUUGCUCUCGGGUGACGAGCGGCGGACGGGUGAGUAAUGUCUGGGAAACUGCCUGAUGGAGGGGGAUAACUACUGGAAACGGUAGCUAAUACCGCAUAAUGUCGCAAGACCAAAGUGGGGGACCUUCGGGCCUCAUGCCAUCAGAUGUGCCCAGAUGGGAUUAGCUAGUAGGUGGGGUAACGGCUCACCUAGGCGACGAUCCCUAGCUGGUCUGAGAGGAUGACCAGCCACACUGGAACUGAGACACGGUCCAGACUCCUACGGGAGGCAGCAGUGGGGAAUAUUGCACAAUGGGCGCAAGCCUGAUGCAGCCAUGCCGCGUGUGUGAAGAAGGCCUUCGGGUUGUAAAGCACUUUCAGCGGGGAGGAAGGCGUUAAGGUUAAUAACCUCAUCGAUUGACGUUACCCGCAGAAGAAGCACCGGCUAACUCCGUGCCAGCAGCCGCGGUAAUACGGAGGGUGCAAGCGUUAAUCGGAAUUACUGGGCGUAAAGCGCACGCAGGCGGUCUGUCAAGUCGGAUGUGAAAUCCCCGGGCUCAACCUGGGAACUGCAUUCGAAACUGGCAGGCUAGAGUCUUGUAGAGGGGGGUAGAAUUCCAGGUGUAGCGGUGAAAUGCGUAGAGAUCUGGAGGAAUACCGGUGGCGAAGGCGGCCCCCUGGACAAAGACUGACGCUCAGGUGCGAAAGCGUGGGGAGCAAACAGGAUUAGAUACCCUGGUAGUCCACGCCGUAAACGAUGUCGAUUUGGAGGUUGUGCCCUUGAGGCGUGGCUUCCGGAGCUAACGCGUUAAAUCGACCGCCUGGGGAGUACGGCCGCAAGGUUAAAACUCAAAUGAAUUGACGGGGGCCCGCACAAGCGGUGGAGCAUGUGGUUUAAUUCGAUGCAACGCGAAGAACCUUACCUGGUCUUGACAUCCACAGAACUUUCCAGAGAUGGAUUGGUGCCUUCGGGAACUGUGAGACAGGUGCUGCAUGGCUGUCGUCAGCUCGUGUUGUGAAAUGUUGGGUUAAGUCCCGCAACGAGCGCAACCCUUAUCCUUUGUUGCCAGCGGUUCGGCCGGGAACUCAAAGGAGACUGCCAGUGAUAAACUGGAGGAAGGUGGGGAUGACGUCAAGUCAUCAUGGCCCUUACGACCAGGGCUACACACGUGCUACAAUGGCAUAUACAAAGAGAAGCGACCUCGCGAGAGCAAGCGGACCUCAUAAAGUAUGUCGUAGUCCGGAUUGGAGUCUGCAACUCGACUCCAUGAAGUCGGAAUCGCUAGUAAUCGUAGAUCAGAAUGCUACGGUGAAUACGUUCCCGGGCCUUGUACACACCGCCCGUCACACCAUGGGAGUGGGUUGCAAAAGAAGUAGGUAGCUUAACCUUCGGGAGGGCGCCUACCCUUAGAUGUUACGGG
Molecule: ribosomal RNA, 1446 nt
Filed under: bacterium RB5-FF-21
Lineage: Bacteria
Description: bacterial SSU rRNA
Rfam family: Bacterial small subunit ribosomal RNA
Source: RNAcentral